RNAcentral lists this ribosomal RNA (370 nucleotides) under uncultured Streptococcus sp. Its description in RNAcentral is "bacterial SSU rRNA". It matches the Rfam family "Bacterial small subunit ribosomal RNA", at positions 527 to 896 of the family's 1533-position model. The record is from RNAcentral. Lineage: Bacteria; Bacillati; Bacillota; Bacilli; Lactobacillales; Streptococcaceae.
GUAGGUCCCGAGCGUUGUCCGGAUUUAUUGGGCGUAAAGCGAGCGCAGGCGGUUAGAAAAGUCUGAAGUGAAAGGCAGUGGCUCAACCAUUGUAGGCUUUGGAAACUGUUUAACUUGAGUGCAGAAGGGGAGAGUGGAAUUCCAUGUGUAGCGGUGAAAUGCGUAGAUAUAUGGAGGAACACCGGUGGCGAAAGCGGCUCUCUGGUCUGUCACUGACGCUGAGGCUCGAAAGCGUGGGGAGCGAACAGGAUUAGAUACCCUGGUAGUCCACGCCGUAAACGAUGAGUGCUAGGUGUUGGGUCCUUUCCGGGGCUCAGUGCCGCAGCUAACGCAUUAAGCACUCCGCCUGGGGAGUACGACCGCAAGGUUG